AUUGAACGCUGGCGGCAUGCCUUACACAUGCAAGUCGAACGGUAACAGGUCUUCGGAUGCUGACGAGUGGCGAACGGGUGAGUAAUACAUCGGAACGUGCCCAGACGUGGGGGAUAACGAGGCGAAAGCUUUGCUAAUACCGCAUACGAUCUAAGGAUGAAAGCAGGGGACCGCAAGGCCUUGCGCGUUUGGAGCGGCCGAUGGCAGAUUAGGUAGCUGGUGGGAUAAAAGCUUACCAAGCCGACGAUCUGUAGCUGGUCUGAGAGGACGACCAGCCACACUGGGACUGAGACACGGCCCAGACUCCUACGGGAGGCAGCAGUGGGGAAUUUUGGACAAUGGGCGAAAGCCUGAUCCAGCAAUGCCGCGUGCAGGAUGAAGGCCUUCGGGUUGUAAACUGCUUUUGUACGGAACGAAAAGGCUCUGGCUAAUACCUGGGGCACAUGACGGUACCGUAAGAAUAAGCACCGGCUAACUACGUG
This 482-nucleotide ribosomal RNA is filed under the name uncultured bacterium. Its description in RNAcentral is "partial 16S ribosomal RNA". It matches the Rfam family "Bacterial small subunit ribosomal RNA", at positions 30 to 507 of the family's 1533-position model. The record is from RNAcentral.